RNAcentral lists this long non-coding RNA (1950 nucleotides) under Capra hircus (goat). RNAcentral describes it as "lncRNA (ENSCHIG00010001930.1)". The record is from RNAcentral. Lineage: Eukaryota; Metazoa; Chordata; Mammalia; Artiodactyla; Bovidae.
GCUCCGUCCCUGUCCCCUCCCCCGAUUAAAACUCCCUGCCAUUCCGAAGUUAAAAAGGAACAAUAGACUUGAAUAUUUAAGAUUUCAAGCUGCUUCAUGUGAAGUUUCUUUUAUGCUGUCCGUAUUUGGGAAGGAAGACCAGAAUUAAUCCAGAUACCCUCGAAUUUAACAUUCAACUCAGGUGGAUUGACUGUUUAGUGGUGGCAUUUUAACCCAUUUCAUGAAAAGCAUUAAAGGCUUACCAGGUUACUUUUCUUUCUUUGGUGGGAUCUAUGCUCUGAACCUGGAUUCUGCCAGAAAUCUAUCACAUUUGGUACCUCACCUUAUCCAUUCCAACCAUAAAUGUGAUUAUGGGCAGGAAAAAAGUACUUUGAGCACUUUUAGUAAAAUUAUGAUACAACAUCCAACAUGUUAUCACUUAUUUUACUACUGAGUCCACCAAAGCUUCCUGUAUCCAGGGAAUGGAUGGUAUCAGGUUGACCCUUAAGAGUGCAUUAUUCAUCUGUUUACUACUAUUUGCAAAAGCAAAAGCUAUUAGGUAAUGGGCUGUCCCAUAUCAAAUAUCCUUGCACGAGUCAGGUUUGCCUCUGAUGAAAAAUGCUUCUGCCCACCCUUUGUGUGUGCUCAGUUGCUAAGUCCUGUCUGACUCCUUAUGACCCCAUGGACUGUAAACCCACCAGGCUCCUCUGUCCAUGGGAUUCUGUAGGAAAGAAUACUGGAGUGGGUUGCCAUUUCCUCCUCUAGGGAAUCUUCCCAAACCAAGGACAGAACCUGCAUCUCCUGUGUCUCCAGCUUCGGUAGGCAGGUUCUUUAUCACGAGUGCCAUCCCCAUCCUUUAGACCUCCUCAAUACAUAUGAUUUCUCUUGGGGUUGGAGGGCCACUAUUAUGUUCCUCUCAAUGUCAGACAAACUUCUUUAAUAGCUUUGUGACCUUGGGCACAUGUCUUAACCUCUCUGUUCCCUCAGUUGUAAACUGGACUGACUGACAGCUGUUUUGAUGCUGAAAGCCUUCAAUAUGUUUGAAAACACCUAACAACAAAGCAUAGUCUACAGCAGGUAUUUAAAGAGCAUGAAUUUCCUUCCUUCUCCAGGUAAGGGCUCAUUGAAAGAACAGUAAAAUUUUGUGUAGAUGUGUUUUUCUUGGAAAGAAAAUCCACAGUUUAACAGAUUAUCAUGGGGGCCAGCGAUGUUCCUGAAAAAGAAUUGUAGAUUCUUCUGCCUGUAACCGCCAAAGGGUAAAUCUCUUUCUCAGGGGAUCAGAUUUUUUGUGAAUAUUUUUGUUCUCUGGGUACUCUUUCUUGUAGCCUGAUAACAGAAAAGGAUAAGCAGGUGACGGCUUUCUUUCUCAGGGCAGGGUCCCUUUGAACUCCCUGAGGGAUCUGUGACUCCCGUUUGUGUUCCCUCCCAUAUGAGGGGGAGUGUGCCAUCCGCAACUGGGAAGCAGGUUUAAGGUCGCUCAGCCUUCGAGGGUCGCUUCUUCCUCGAAAAACCAACUUUUGUAGGUUUCCUCAAGCUAAACGGCCUCUCUUCAGCUCCAGCUGUUAGUCAAAACCUCGUGGUGCAACCCUGGCCGCCAAUCCCACCCUCCUAGGCCCCAAUCCCGAGGCGGUGGGGGCGGGGAGGCCGCGCGCGCCGCUUCCGCUCCUCCACACGACCAGAGGGCGCUGCGGUCCCGCCUCUGCCUUCCCGGGGUGCUUCGCGCCGGGCCCCUUCCGCGUGGGUGAGUGACUGUGAGAGUCAGCGUCGCGCCGCGCGCGCCGACCGCCUCCGCCGCCCGGCGCUCUUAUUUCGGCUGCGAGGGGCGAGCGCGCGCGUAAAGGCAUAGAGACGGGCGUUGAGCUCUCGGGCUAGAGCGUCGCCGAGUCGGAGCCGGAGCCCGAGCCGCGCGCUGUGUCUCCGCUGCGUCCGCCGAGGCCCCCGAGUGUCAGGGACAAAGCCGCCACCGCGCCG